This 299-nucleotide small nuclear RNA is filed under the name Phascolarctos cinereus (koala). RNAcentral's name for it is "7SK RNA (ENSPCIG00000030019.2)". It matches the Rfam family "7SK RNA". Rfam says of the family: 7SK was discovered as an abundant small nuclear RNA in the mid-70s but a possible function has only recently been suggested. Two independent studies have found that 7SK RNA binds the CDK9/cyclin T complex (known as elongation factor P-TEFb). The record is from Rfam by way of RNAcentral. Lineage: Eukaryota; Metazoa; Chordata; Mammalia; Diprotodontia; Phascolarctidae.
GUAUGAGUGGGAUAUGUGAGUGGCAUCUGUCACCCCAACUGAUUGCUCAGAUUGAUUCAGCUGAUCUGGCUGAAUAAUCAAGUGCCUUCUUUCCCCUCCCUACUGAUGCUUAUUUGCCCCUCUUGAAAAUUUCCAUUCAACCAAAGAGGAUAAUGGUGGAGAAGGACCAAGUUGCAUGACUGGUUCCCCAGCUUAGGUAUGACUGGAGAUUUGCCAGGGUAAAUAAAAUUCAAGCUCUGCAAAGGUGCAUAGGGGUACUCUAGUCUCUUCAUAUCAGGGAAUACCCUAUCCCUGAUUCU